This 252-nucleotide ribosomal RNA is filed under the name uncultured bacterium. RNAcentral's name for it is "partial 16S ribosomal RNA". It matches the Rfam family "Bacterial small subunit ribosomal RNA", at positions 524 to 776 of the family's 1533-position model. The record is from RNAcentral.
GACGUAGGGCGCGAGCGUUGUCCGGAUUUAUUGGGCGUAAAGAGCUCGUAGGCGGCUUGUCGCGUCGUUCGUGAAAGCCCGGGGCUCAACCCCGGUAUUCAUUGGAAACUGGCGGACUGGAGUGCAGGAGAGGGAAGCGGAAUUCCACGUGUAGCGGUGAAAUGCGUAGAGAUGUGGAGGAACACCAGUGGCGAAGGCGGCUUCCUGGCCUGUAACUGACGCUGAGGCGCGAAAGCGUGGGGAGCAAACAGG